This 350-nucleotide ribosomal RNA is filed under the name uncultured bacterium. Its description in RNAcentral is "partial 16S ribosomal RNA". It matches the Rfam family "Bacterial small subunit ribosomal RNA", at positions 338 to 699 of the family's 1533-position model. The record is from RNAcentral.
CCUACGGGAGGCAGCAGUCGAGAAUCAUUCACAAUGGGGGCAACCCUGAUGGUGCGACGCCGCGUGGGGGAAUGAAGGUCUUCGGAUUGUAAACUCCUGUCAUGUGGGAGCAAAUUAAAAAGAUAGUAUCACAAGAGGAAGAGACGGCUAACUCUGUGCCAGCAGCCGCGGUCAUACAGAGGUCUCAAGCGUUGUUCGGAAUGACUGGGCGUAAAGGGUGCGUAGGCUGUUUCGUAAGUCGUGUGUGAAAGGUGCGGGCUCAACCGGCGGACGGCACAUGAUACUGAGAGGCUAGAGUAAAGGUGGGGGAAGCGGAAUGGAUGGUGGAGCAGUGAAAUGCGUAGAGAUCA